AUGCAAGUCGAACGGUGAAGCCCCGCUUGCGGGGUGGAUCASUGGCGAACGGGUGAGUAACACGUGAGCAACCUGCCCCUGACUCUGGGAUAAGCGCUGGAAACGGCGUCUAAUACUGGAUACGAGACGUGAUCGCAUGGUCAACGUUUGGAAAGAUUUUUCGGUUGGGGAUGGGCUCGCGGCCUAUCAGCUUGUUGGUGAGGUAAUGGCUCACCAAGGCGUCGACGGGUAGCCGGCCUGAGAGGGUGACCGGCCACACUGGGACUGAGACACGGCCCAGACUCCUACGGGAGGCAGCAGUGGGGAAUAUUGCACAAUGGGCGCAAGCCUGAUGCAGCAACGCCGCGUGAGGGAUGACGGCCUUCGGGUUGUAAACCUCUUUUAGCAGGGAAGAAGCGAGAGUGACGGUACCUG
This 414-nucleotide ribosomal RNA is filed under the name actinobacterium BAL78. RNAcentral's name for it is "bacterial SSU rRNA". It matches the Rfam family "Bacterial small subunit ribosomal RNA", at positions 55 to 481 of the family's 1533-position model. The record is from RNAcentral. Lineage: Bacteria; Bacillati; Actinomycetota; Actinomycetes.